This 476-nucleotide ribosomal RNA is filed under the name uncultured bacterium. RNAcentral describes it as "bacterial SSU rRNA". It matches the Rfam family "Bacterial small subunit ribosomal RNA", at positions 29 to 526 of the family's 1533-position model. The record is from RNAcentral.
AAUGAACGUUGGCGGCGUGGAUUAGGCAUGCAAGUCGAGCGGGAGUAGCAAUACUCUAGCGGCGGAAGGGACAGGAAUGCGUAGAUUACGUACCCCUAGGACUGGAAUAGCUGCGGGAAACUGCAGGUAAUGCCAGAUAAUAUCUUCGGCUCAAAGGUGUGAUUCCGCCUAGGGAGCGGUCUACGUCCUAUUAGUUAGUUGGUGGGGUAAUGGCCUACCAAGACUUUGAUGGGUGGCGGGUGUGAGAGCACGACCCGCGUCACUGGGACUGAGACACUGCCCAGACACCUACGGGUGGCUGCAGUCGAGAAUCUUCGGCAAUGGGCGAAAGCCUGACCGAGCGACGCCGCGUGCGGGAUGAAGGCCUUCGGGUUGUAAACCGCUGUCAAUGGGGAGGAAGGCUGCGUGAAGAGCGCAGUUUGACCUAUCUUUGGAGGAAGGACGGGCUAAGUUCGUGCCAGCCGCCGCAGUAAUAC